Molecule: ribosomal RNA, 594 nt
Filed under: uncultured bacterium
Lineage: Bacteria
Description: bacterial SSU rRNA
Rfam family: Bacterial small subunit ribosomal RNA
Source: RNAcentral
CCUUUCGGGGGUACACGAGCGGCGAACGGGUGAGUAACACGUGGGUGACCUGCCCUCAGCUCUGGGAUAAGCCUGGGAAACUGGGUCUAAUACCGGAUAUGACCUUUCCUCGCAUGGGGUUUGGUGGAAAGUUUUUUCGGCUGGGGAUGGGCCCGCGGCCUAUCAGCUUGUUGGUGGGGUGAUGGCCUACCAAGGCGACGACGGGUAGCCGGCCUGAGAGGGCGACCGGCCACACUGGGACUGAGACACGGCCCAGACUCCUACGGGAGGCAGCAGUGGGGAAUAUUGCGCAAUGGGCGGAAGCCUGACGCAGCGACGCCGCGUGGGGGAUGACGGCCUUCGGGUUGUAAACCUCUUUCGACCUUGACGAAGCUUUCGGGUGACGGUAGGGGUAGAAGAAGCACCGGCCAACUACGUGCCAGCAGCCGCGGUAAUACGUAGGGUGCGAGCGUUGUCCGGAAUUAUUGGGCGUAAAGAGCUCGUAGGCGGUCUGUCACGUCGGUCGUGAAAACUUGGGGCUUAACCCUGAGCUUGCGGUCGAUACGGGCAUGACUUGAGUUCGGCAGGGGAGACUGGAAUUCCUGGUGUAGCGGU